GGGGAAUAUUGCACAAUGGGCGCAAGCCUGAUGCAGCGACGCCGCGUGGGGGAUGACGGCCUUCGGGUUGUAAACUCCUUUCGCAACUGACGAAGCUUUUUGUGACGGUAGGUUGAGAAGAAGCACCGGCUAACUACGUGCCAGCAGCCGCGGUAAUACGUAGGGUGCGAGCGUUGUCCGGAAUUACUGGGCGUAAAGAGCUCGUAGGUGGUUUGUCGCGUCGUGUGUGAAAUUCCGGGGCUUAACUUCGGGGUUGCAUACGAUACGGGCAUAACUUGAGUGCUGUAGGGGAGACUGGAAUUCCUGGUGUAGCGGUGAAAUGCGCAGAUAUCAGGAGGAACACCGAUGGCGAAGGCAGGUCUCUGGGCAGUAACUGACGCUGAGGAGCGAAAGCAUGGGGAGCGAACA
Molecule: ribosomal RNA, 408 nt
Filed under: uncultured Corynebacterium sp.
Lineage: Bacteria; Bacillati; Actinomycetota; Actinomycetes; Mycobacteriales; Corynebacteriaceae
Description: bacterial SSU rRNA
Rfam family: Bacterial small subunit ribosomal RNA
Source: RNAcentral